RNAcentral lists this ribosomal RNA (250 nucleotides) under uncultured bacterium. Its description in RNAcentral is "partial 16S ribosomal RNA". It matches the Rfam family "Bacterial small subunit ribosomal RNA", at positions 111 to 354 of the family's 1533-position model. The record is from RNAcentral.
UAACACGUGAGUGACCUGCCUUUUAGACUGGAACAACUUACCGAAAGGUGAGCUAAUGCCGGAUGAGUUAUAUAAGUGCAUGUUUAUAUAGGAAAAGUUGGGGAGACCUGACGCUGAAAGAUGGACUCGCGUCCCAUUAGCUAGUUGGUAGGGUAAUGGCCUACCAAGGCGACGAUGGGUAGCCGGCCUGAGAGGGUGGCCGGCCACACUGGGACUGAGACACAGCCCAGACUCCUACGGAAGGCAGCAG